Molecule: transfer RNA, 75 nt
Filed under: Bacillus cereus
Lineage: Bacteria; Bacillati; Bacillota; Bacilli; Caryophanales; Bacillaceae
Description: tRNA-Asn
Rfam family: tRNA
About the family: Transfer RNA (tRNA) molecules are approximately 80 nucleotides in length.
Source: RNAcentral
UCCGCAGUAGCGCAGUGGUAGAGCUAUCGGCUGUUAACCGAUCGGUCGUAGGUACGAGUCCUACCUGCGGAGCCA